This 496-nucleotide ribosomal RNA is filed under the name uncultured bacterium. RNAcentral's name for it is "partial 16S ribosomal RNA". It matches the Rfam family "Bacterial small subunit ribosomal RNA", at positions 28 to 507 of the family's 1533-position model. The record is from RNAcentral.
GAUGAACGCUGGCGGCGUGCCUAAUACAUGCAAGUCGAGCGAACGGACGAGAAGCUUGCUUCUCUGAUGUUAGCGGCGGACGGGUGAGUAACACGUGGAUAACCUACCUAUAAGACUGGGAUAACUUCGGGAAACCGGAGCUAAUACCGGAUAAUAUUUUGAACCGCAUGGUUCAAAAGUGAAAGACGGUCUUGCUGUCACUUAUAGAUGGAUCCGCGCUGCAUUAGCUAGUUGGUAAGGUAACGGCUUACCAAGGCAACGAUGCAUAGCCGACCUGAGAGGGUGAUCGGCCACACUGGAACUGAGGGACGGUCCAGACUCCUACGGGAGGCAGCAGUAGGGAAUCUGCCGCAAUGGGCGAAAGCCUGACGGGCAACGCCGCGUGAGUGAUGAAGGUCUUCGGAUCGUAAAACUCUGUUAUUAGGGAAGAACAUAUGUGUAAGUAACUGUGCACAUCUUGACGGUACCUAAUCAGAAAGCCACGGCUAACUACGUG